CAGCAGCCGCGGUAAUACGGAGGGUGCAAGCGUUAAUCGGAAUUACUGGGCGUAAAGCGUGCGUAGGCGGUUCGCUAAGUCUGUUGUGAAAGCCCCGGGCUCAACCUGGGAAUGGCAAUGGAUACUGGCGAGCUAGAGUGUGUCAGAGGAUGGUGGAAUUCCCGGUGUAGCGGUGAAAUGCGUAGAGAUCGGGAGGAACAUCAGUGGCGAAGGCGGCCAUCUGGGACAACACUGACGCUGAGGCACGAAAGCGUGGGGAGCAAACAGGAUUAGAUACCCCAGUAGUCCCUGUCUCUUAUAC
This 301-nucleotide ribosomal RNA is filed under the name uncultured bacterium. RNAcentral's name for it is "partial 16S ribosomal RNA". It matches the Rfam family "Bacterial small subunit ribosomal RNA", at positions 509 to 807 of the family's 1533-position model. The record is from RNAcentral.